AGACUCCUACGGGAGGCAGCAGUGGGGAAUAUUGGGCAAUGGGCGCAAGCCUGACCCAGCGACGCCGCGUGAGGGAAGAAGGCCCUUGGGUCGUAAACCUCUGUUGUAUGGGAAGAAGGACGUGACGGUACCAUAGGGGGGAAUCCCGGCUCCAGCAGCCGCGGUAAUACGUAGGGGACGAGCGUUNUCCGGAAUUACU
RNAcentral lists this ribosomal RNA (199 nucleotides) under bacterium enrichment culture. RNAcentral's name for it is "partial 16S ribosomal RNA". It matches the Rfam family "Bacterial small subunit ribosomal RNA", at positions 333 to 555 of the family's 1533-position model. The record is from RNAcentral.